GAUGAGGUGACCGAGAGGUUAAGGUGAUGGAUUACUCAUCCAUUGCGUUCUACGCGCGUGGGUUCGAUUCCCACUCUCGUCG
This is a non-coding RNA of Chiloscyllium plagiosum (whitespotted bambooshark), 82 nucleotides long. NCBI's taxonomy places the organism in Eukaryota, Metazoa, Chordata, Chondrichthyes, Orectolobiformes, Hemiscylliidae. The record is from the annotation of a RefSeq genome assembly.